This 396-nucleotide ribosomal RNA is filed under the name uncultured bacterium. Its description in RNAcentral is "partial 16S ribosomal RNA". It matches the Rfam family "Bacterial small subunit ribosomal RNA", at positions 523 to 918 of the family's 1533-position model. The record is from RNAcentral.
AUACGUAGGUGGCAAGCGUUAUCCGGAUUUACUGGGUGUAAAGGGCGCGUAGGCGGGGGUGCAAGUCAGAUGUGACAUCUAUGGGCUUAACUCAUAAACUGCAUUUGAAACUGUAUCGCUUGAGUGCUGGAAAGGUAGACGGAAUUCCUUGUGUAGCGGCGAAAUGCGUAGAUAUAAGGAAGAACACCAGUGGCGAAGGCGGUCUACUGGACAGUAACUGACGCUGAGGCGCGAAAGCGUGGGGAGCAAACAGGAUUAGAUACCCUGGUAGUCCACGCUGUAAACGAUGAAUACUAGGUGUGGGGGGACUGACCCCCUCCGUGCCGCAGUUAACACAAUAAGUAUUCCACCUGGGGAGUACGGCCGCAAGGUUGAAACUCAAAUGAAUUGACGGGG